GCAGAAGAAAUCGUGUGACACUUCACCUUCUGUGUCUGACUCGUUUUGCUCAUCAGGGCCCCAAGUUCCAUCCAUCACCCCGCAAAUGACAGAACUGCACUGCUAUUGAUGAGUCAAAGUCUCUGCACAAGCGCUACCUUUUCUUGUUCCAUUUGGCAGUUGAUGGGCAUCUGGGCGUUCUCAACCACUGGGAGCUGUGCAGCAAUGUGACAACUGAGGCAACUAUCUGGGAAUACUCUCACAUCUCUCCCAUCACCUUCAACCAAAGUAGUGAACCAGCUGGCCAGGGAUGAGAUCACACAACACCACAUCAAAUGAAGAUCAGGAUUUGGCCAAAGAGAAAGAUAAAGAUGAACUAUACAUAGGCAAGUGUUCUUACAGUGCAGAGGAGCGUGCAUUUGUUCCGGCUGACACCUCUUUAAACACAGUGAAUGCAGUCAUCUCCUGAGAGCAUGGAGACCACAGCUGAAGAAUUUUGAAGAACCUUUCUUGAGUCUUCACUUUGUCCCUGGAGCCCACCAGAGAGGGUAAAUUGUAAGCCAGGCUGUGUGUGGUUCAGCCAUGAUACUCUCCAGUGAACUCUCUGCUCCAGCUUGUUCUGCACCAAAUCCAACCAUUUCUGCCCAAACUGGGAGCCAUUUAAGAUGUCACAAGAGUACUAGAUGUGGAAGAAAUUCAGGACUAUGUGCUUCUGUAGUGUGGGUGCCACCCAGAUGCCCAGUUCAUCUUCAUCGUGGAUACACCUGGGCUUGAUAAUGCCCAGGGAUCUAUGGGGGCAGUGCAGGGGGCUGGAGGGAUGCACUUUCUCCCCAUGCCUCAUGCUAUGGGUGACUUGAUGAUGUGAGGCAUUGCAGGGAGUUAGGUUUAAAUCCUGGGGCUCCAGAGCCCCACUUACCUCUACUCCCUCACCCACAUGCUAGGUGGUUCAGGUGAGUUAGCCAAAGCUUUUAGACCCCGGGUCCAAACAACAGCAGUGAUGGCAGCACUUCCUCUUUCCUGGGGCCACGUAGGGCUACUGCAGUGAAUGGAAAGCAAGAGCAAACUCAAGCAUAUAAAGCAGAAGAUGCACAAAUAGUGUGUCUGUUGCUUAGACAAGGACUCUGCCUCAUAAGGUGAUGGGGAAUUUUCUUGGGAGAUUCCUGGAAACUCUGGAGCCCUCUGGGACCAUGGGAGGAUGAUUUUAAAUGAAGAGUAGAAGCAACAGACAGAUGUGGGCACAGUGCCCUCUACCACACAGCAUCUUGCCCAGAAUGCCUAUGUCCACACAGAACAUAGGCGCUGGACCUAGUUUAACUUGGGUACUCCACUUCCUGUUAUGCUGCUUGAGCCUUGUCAUGGUUUGUGCCUGGA
Molecule: long non-coding RNA, 1350 nt
Organism: Chinchilla lanigera (long-tailed chinchilla)
Lineage: Eukaryota; Metazoa; Chordata; Mammalia; Rodentia; Chinchillidae
Exons: 3
Source: RefSeq, a predicted model, not a curated record